AUGGCAUUAUUCAGUCCAGCCAAGUCAUUUUCUUCUUUUAAUAUUGAUGACCUGGUUAAGCUUGCUGGGUUCUAUCCUCAUGAUUUUGACUUUAAAGAAAUGCACCAACUUCCUUUUCAAUUGAAUCUCUAUAUUAUUGAUGUGAGGAAUGAUGAAAACUUCACAAACUUGAGAAGUCUAGCAGAGUUGUCUAUGAUGCUUCUUAGAACAGGGAGGGCUCUUCGGUAUGAUAUUGUUUACAAACUUCUCAGCUAG
RNAcentral lists this ribosomal RNA (255 nucleotides) under Triticum aestivum (bread wheat). Its description in RNAcentral is "partial small subunit ribosomal RNA". The record is from RNAcentral. Lineage: Eukaryota; Viridiplantae; Streptophyta; Magnoliopsida; Poales; Poaceae.